CUGCGACUCGUACCUCUCUCACACCCUCCAGAGAUGAGCUGCAGCAGGGUAAGGCUACUGUCAUGUAUAUUAUUCCAAAAGGAUUCCCCUCUGACUGGAAGCUGAGCUGGAAGGUGAACGGCUGCGGCAGGAGCUCUGGUGUCAAUCUGAGUCCCAGUCAGCUGCAGAAGGAUGGACUGUACAGCUGGAGCAGCAGCCUGAGCCUCACUGAGAGUGAGUGGAGCAGAGUAAAAACCGUCAGCUGUAAAGCCACUCACCCGUCCCACAAUGCAAUGACCAAAAGCCUCAACACACAGCAGUGCGAUAAUGACCAGUGA
Molecule: non-coding RNA, 317 nt
Organism: Labeo rohita (rohu)
Lineage: Eukaryota; Metazoa; Chordata; Actinopteri; Cypriniformes; Cyprinidae
Source: the annotation of a RefSeq genome assembly